RNAcentral lists this ribosomal RNA (499 nucleotides) under uncultured bacterium. RNAcentral's name for it is "partial 16S ribosomal RNA". It matches the Rfam family "Bacterial small subunit ribosomal RNA", at positions 28 to 507 of the family's 1533-position model. The record is from RNAcentral.
GAUGAACGCUGGCGGCGUGCCUAAUACAUGCAAGUCGAGCGAACAGACGAGAGUGCUUGCACUCUCUGACGUUAGCGGCGGACGGGUGAGGAACACGUUGGUAACCUACCUAUAAGACUGGGAUAACUUCGGGAAACCGGAGCUAAUACCGGAUAAGAUUUAGCUUCGGAGGAAGCAAGAGUGAAAGACGGUUGUGCUGUGACUUAGAGAUGGACCCGCGGUGGAGUAGCUAGGUGGUGAGGUAACGGCUCACCAAGGCAACUAUACAUAGGCGGCCUGAGAGGGUGAUCGGCCACACUGGGACUGAGCCACGGCCCAGACUCCUACGGGAGGCAGCAGUAGGGAAUCUUCCGCAAUGGACGAAAGUCUGCCGGAGCAAUGCCGCGUGAGUGAAGAAGGUUUUCGGAUCGUAAAACUCUGUUGUAAGGGAAGAACAAGUACGUUAGUAACUGAACGUACCUUGACGGUACCUUACCAGAAAGCCACGGCUAACUACGUG